This 465-nucleotide ribosomal RNA is filed under the name Vreelandella stevensii. RNAcentral's name for it is "partial 16S ribosomal RNA". It matches the Rfam family "Bacterial small subunit ribosomal RNA", at positions 338 to 795 of the family's 1533-position model. The record is from RNAcentral. Lineage: Bacteria; Pseudomonadati; Pseudomonadota; Gammaproteobacteria; Oceanospirillales; Halomonadaceae.
CCUACGGGGGGCAGCAGUGGGGAAUAUUGGACAAUGGGCGAAAGCCUGAUCCAGCCAUGCCGCGUGUGUGAAGAAGGCCUUCGGGUUGUAAAGCACUUUCAGUGGGGAAGAAAGCCUUGGGGCUAAUACCCUCGAGGAAGGACAUCACCCACAGAAGAAGCACCGGCUAACUCCGUGCCAGCAGCCGCGGUAAUACGGAGGGUGCGAGCGUUAAUCGGAAUUACUGGGCGUAAAGCGCGCGUAGGCGGUCUGAUAAGCCGGUUGUGAAAGCCCCGGGCUCAACCUGGGAACGGCAUCCGGAACUGGCAGGCUAGAGUGCAGGAGAGGAAGGUAGAAUUCCCGGUGUAGCGGUGAAAUGCGUAGAGAUCGGGAGGAAUACCAGUGGCGAAGGCGGCCUUAUGGACUGACACUGACGCUGAGGUGCGAAAGCGUGGGUAGCAAACAGGAUUAGAUACCCCUGUAGUC